This is a long non-coding RNA of Neopsephotus bourkii (Bourke's parrot), 694 nucleotides long. RefSeq lists it as uncharacterized. The record is from RefSeq and is a predicted model, not a curated record. The transcript is spliced from 2 exons. NCBI's taxonomy places the organism in Eukaryota, Metazoa, Chordata, Aves, Psittaciformes, Psittacidae.
UACAGUAAGGCUCAGGACAGGGAGUAACUGCUGUUGCCACAGCACAGAUUAGAUCUGUGAAAAGCUUCUGAGCUGCUUCUCCAACCAGGGAGGCACAGCAGCAAGUUGAAGGGCAGGUAGGAAAUGUGGUUUUCCCUCACCUAAUGUACAGUCAUGGAACACCCAGGCUGUAGCAGCACUUUGUCUCCAGGGAGCUGACAGCUCCAUUCUGCUAAAUAAUUUCAUGCUUUAUUUAACAAGAGUUUGUAUUUGUUUGCAGAAGAUCAGUAACAUUUCCUGACAAGCUGAGCCAACAAAGGUGACAGUGGACUUCCUUAACAACCAAGAAGCAGCAGAAGGAAGAUGGUUCUGGAGCAGAUCUCACAAAUGGCCAUUGAUAGAUCAUUGGAAACAGUGUGAAAUGGCCACCAGUGCAUAACUGCAGGCUUCUCCUCACUGCAGCCCCAUCCUGGGUAAGUUCCCAGUAAAGCCAAAGAGGAUUUGGGUGCUAAUGCCAUUGGCCGUGUGGGCAGCAAUUUUUGUCUCCUGAAACCUGAAUUCUCGAUUAAAUACUGCAGAUGAGGAGCUCUUCAGCUGACAGUUGCUCUGCUCUGACACUGUCUUUUUUCACCUAGGACCCGAUUUGCAGCUGGCAGGAGGAAGAAGUGGUUCCCUGCUGUUUUUGUUCCAGAAUAAAGCAAGUUGUGGAAAAUCU